Molecule: long non-coding RNA, 5061 nt
Organism: Acinonyx jubatus (cheetah)
Lineage: Eukaryota; Metazoa; Chordata; Mammalia; Carnivora; Felidae
Exons: 4
Source: RefSeq, a predicted model, not a curated record
GUGUUCGUAGAGAGAACGAGAAAGAAGCCGAGGAUGCUGGGGAGGCUGGGAGGAGGCGUGGGUUGGGCACAUACCUACCAUGUGCCAGGUGCCUGACACACGUCAUCUCAUUCGGUCCCCAUAGCAGCCCAUUGUGAUCCUAACAGCAAACGCUCCCAUCAUGCUUACUCCGUGCCAGGCACCGUGCUAAUUGCUUUGCACAUAGUCACUCGGUUAAUAAUAGCAACGACCCCGAGAUAGAUACCAGCGUUUAUCCCAUAUUAUAAAAGAUCGCUAAGGCCCAGAGAGGUUAAGUAACUAGUGCAAGGUCACACAGCUAGUAGGCGAUGGAGUUUGGUUCAACCAUGCGUGGAUGAGUAAACUGAGGCUCAGAGAUAUUAAAUCACUUGCCGAAGGACACAGAGCUGCACUAAGAUUCAUGCCUAAGUCUGAUCCCUGAGUCUGGGCUCUUUCCUUGAAUACCCUGGGCUUUCCUAGGGAAGCAUACACUUCAAGAGAAAGAUUAUUCCAGACUCUUCCAGAAAGAAGAGACUGGAGGACCAGGGCACUCAGACCUUAAUAGUACAACAGAACGGACACGAAAUUAACAGUGGCCGUUUGUUUAAAAACGGCUAAGAACAGAGACGGUGAGUUCUGGGCCCCUAAUAAUACAAGGGAAGUAGAAAGAGGUGGUAUGUGCUUGGUGCUUGCAUUGCUUUUCUUUUCUUUCUGUUUUGGCAUUUUCUUGCUUGUCAGUAAAGAGAAUUAACUGCUUCCUGUCUCAAACAGAUGUGGGCAUCUUCAGGGGGUGCUGUGUGCAAACACAGGCAAGCGUUUCACUGAGAGACCCUUCGCAGGUGAUUCUCCUGUGUCCCCGAAAUUCACAGCCGUCCAGUCUGGUGGGAUAGCAGCAAAGACACCCCCUGAUGGCUCAGAACAGAGCGAAGGGCCGGAAACCCCAACUUCGGGCGCCCUAAGCCACCGGCGGAGAGGGGGCUUCCCUGGGAUCCCCGGCCUGCUCUGUCUUCCCCAAGGCAGCAUCUGCAUCUUCCUGCUGGGAAGGCAGCCCGAACACAAAUCAGACCCAACCCAUGCCUGACUAGGGAAAGCAGAGAAACUGGCACUGGUCCGUCCGGGUCUGUGCAUGGAGAAACACCUCCUUGGGUUUUGUCAGUCUGUGUGCUAUGUUCCAGAAAAUUCCAUGGGAGCCCGAGGGACGAAGCCAUUCUGGAUGGAGCUGAGAAACCCAAGGUGGCUACACGGAGGCGGGAUCUCGAAGGACCGGGGGGGGGGGGGGGUGGUGUGCGAGGCCAGCCCCUCUGAGAAGGAAGCUGGAGCUCACUGCUCUUGGGGUGACCCUGUUCUGAAGACAGAGCACUUCAGCUGCUGACUUUUCCAGGAAAUGACUCGUGUGUGUGUGUGUGUGUGUGUGUGUGUGUAUGCACGUGUGAGCUUGGAGGUCCGGUGAGGAUCGCAGCAGCGGCCACGAAGGAUCAGAAUGGCACUAGUGAGUGGCUGAAAAAGCUCCUGUGAGGAAAAGGACCGCUUCAGCACAGCAGCAGGUGCUGGUGAGGGUUGACGUUUCUGUUAGCGUGUCCCCUCGGGCGUCCCUUCACGUCCCCUGGUACCCAUGGGGCCCCCGUGGGUGGUGGAGGGAAGUCCUCCCCUGUCUCCUCUUCAGUUAGGUGAGCCAGCCUCCCCGCCUCCCCGGGGUUCCCUGGGGCAGGCCUCUCUUCAGUUUGUCCCGUCCCUGUCUGCACACAUCAUUCCUCUCGUAGAAGAGUGGAAUUCUUACAUAAAAGCAGGAAGACUCUCUCCUCUCUCCCUCCUAGUCCUCCUCCUCCCCUCCUCUGCUUCCCCCACCUUCUCAACCCUUUCUCACCGCCACCCUCCCCCGCUCUGACCUCACCAGCACCUGGUUUGGGCUCUUGACUACGUGUCACUCUGCGCCCUUCUACAUUUCAGGCCACGGAGCAUCAUCACCAGGACCUCCUGCCUCUUGUUUUGGGCUAUGGUCAGAUGGACCCACUUUUGUUCCUUUGGGCCUCGAGCCCUGCCCCUCAAGAACACCCUCAGACCUCUAAGGCAGGCUGGAGCUUUGGCACCUUGGGAGUUCACACUGGAACGCUGGCAGAUUGCAACUAACCUCUGCCAGGGUCACCCCCAGGGGAUUGAGUGGCUUUGAGCCCAAACUUGGAGUGUCCCAGAGGAGAGGUGUCCCAGCAGAUACAAAAUUCGAUUCGGUCUAACUUUCCAGAAUCUCUCCAAACCCCCAAAGUCUCCCCAAAAUUGUAAUACAGAUGAGGUCAGCCCCCUUCAUUUGCAGGGGAGAGGGAGGAAGGGAAGCAUAUGCAUGCAAUGGAUAAACCGACCCUGCUUGAACUUGAACUUGAACUUGGUUAUCAUGAACCAGUUUGCUGCUGGGAUUGUGAUUUUGGAGGAGCUGAGAGUGACCCACUUCAUUAAAAGCAAACACAUGGCUAUGUACACCCAGCUCAUUGUUUCCUACACAACCCCAAUGCACACCGGGGGCUUCCAGAAAUGUUUGUUGAUGGAGGGAAGGACCUUGACCUCUCACAAGGCUGCCACCACGCCGACACCCACAGGAAAGGCGUCUGGGAGCUCCCUGUGGCAGGGAACUCAUCCGACGGUCAUCUUUUAGUUUGUUUUCUCUGAAGUCCUCACAGUGGGUACUGACUGUUCAUAUGUUACUGCAAAAAAAAGUUGCAAAACCUCCCUCCCAGAAAAUCAAACGCUGCUUUACAUGUUGUUGGAGCAGCAUGAUUUAAAACUCCUCCGAAAAGCGCCAGGCAGAGUGAUUCAUUCUCUCUGCAGCGGUAAGCCUGACAUAUGCUGUGCACGUGUGCCCAGUGUGGACCGAGCAGCCAGGCUGGAUUCGGAGAGGGGCCCACUCAGAAGAAAACUCUUUAUUUUUACCCUCUGCCAAAAAUGGAACCUCACCCCAAUUCUCCCUCCUAAAUAGCACAGCCAGGAGGCCUGCCAUUUCAGAAAGGCUGCCUAGAAGCUCCAAAAUGCUCAGUUGAAGUUAGACCCCAAAAGGACAACUGGAUUUAUAGAAAUUGAAUCAAACUCCUCACCUAAAAAUAAAAGGACCCAGGUUUCUAAAAAUACAGUAGUAUUUAUUCCCGGCCAGGCGCCUAUGUUUGCAUCCUUUUAGUUUUCUUAGGAAACUGUUCCUUCCAAAAUGCGUUCUGGUGCCCUAGCCACGAAGGGACGUUUCCCAGGGCGGCAGAAGACUGUGGAUGGUUCUGGAGGCUCCAGUUACACUGAAACCCUGGAGGAGGACACCUCGUGGAAGUACAAAAGACACAGGAGACUGCUUCCCUGGCCAACUCCAACAGUAGGAGUCUAUUUCUCAACUCAGCCGGCCUCUGUGUUGGAUCUCCUUGUCUCGAAGAUUUGCAACUCUUUCCGGCAACCUCAGAAAUGGUGUGGCCACGGUGGAGUCUCGUUCCAUCUGUGUUCUCUUCAACUAAUGAAAAACUAUGGAGGUCUCGUUAAGCAGAAUACACGGGAAGUCUCUGUGCUUUGGAAUUGGCUGAUCAAGAAUUUGGAGAAUGGCAGUCAUCGUGGACAAUGAUGCACACCACUGUAAGGGGGCCAGCACGCGGUGGAGGCCAACUGCUUUCCCACGGUCUCCGUCUGAAUCCUGCCUUCCCCACUGCUCCAUUUUGUAGCAGCAAUUGGCCAAAGGAAAGCAACCUACAGACCUGAGUCCAAAAGCAACCUAAAGACCUGAGUCUAACAAUCGGCAUUUCCUCCUGCAUGGUGAGGACGAUCUCUUUGUCUAACGUAUAAGGAGGCUCUAAUUCCAAUUAGGACUCACAGUCAAGCUGUCACACAAUGACUUUCGUAAAGUUGGGUGCGGCAUGAAUGAGCCCAGGGUAAUUCAAGCAUUCUUUCUUCUUCGGAUCACUUUUAUACUUCAAGAUUCUGGUCCCUUGACUUUUUAAUUGAUCUUCACUCAGCACUUCACGCUUGGAACGCUUCGGCCAGAAGGUUCUUUGUCCCACUCCUCAGAAAUUAAUGGCGUGUGGGGAAAGUUUUAGGUGCACUGGGGGGAGCUCCAAUUAAAAGAGGCCUGGGUGGGGAUCUUCUGCAAAACAAUCAUCCUUUGAAUACGCGGAGGCUCACUUUGCCCAAAUCUGUCUGCGUCGCAAGUUUGCGUUUCGUGUAUUAGAGUUUCUUAAAAUAGGACUCACGGUUGAACCUCACUCAGGUUCUGAGUUAAAGUCUUGAGCCAGGUCUGCAGGGAGCAGAGCGAGCAAGCUGCUGUGUAGUGAUGAGGGCCACAGCCUCACGCUGGGCUCUAAAUCACAGCUAAAACCCCAGAGCUAAAAGCAUCAUUCCUCUCUGGCACUUUCGAUUUAAAAGCCAUGCUAUAUUUUUGUUUCCAAUUAUAGAAGGAGAAAAAUAAAAGCAUCUGGAACUCAUUACUGUCCCUUUAUUCCACACCAUAACUCUAAGAACUCUCCAAAAUGCACGGGCAGAGAGAGGAAGCGGUGCCUCCAGCAGUAAGCCCUCACACCCCAGCCCCCGAUUCCCCUGUGCAUCUCCUCGGCCACAUUGCAAACACAUGGAGUGUGGGGUUUAUGACGGAACCUUGACAGCUUGUCGGCUCCUGCAGGGAGGAAGUUCCAGGGAGCGUGAGGGUCACCCAGCUUCUCAGGCUGCUGCCUUCUUCUGUCUGGCCAUUCCUCACAUGCAACACUUGACCCCCCCAGCCCAAGAAUCCAAGUCCUCAGGGUCAGGCCUUCUCCCCAGACUUCUGCAUGGAUCGCAGAUCCUGGUUCCAGAAACAUAAGAUUCCAGCUUACGACUCCAGAGAGGGCAAGCCCAUAUUGCCUUUAAUGCCUCACACAAGAUGGACACGUGGCUACCUGCGGCCUCAGGACUUGAAUCAAACUCUUGGGUAUCCAACACAAGGCCCUUCCUGCCCCACCCUGACACUGCCCUGGAUUUGUAUCACUCACUCUCCCUGAGCAUGCUGUCUUCUGCCACAUGGUAGUUUAUUUCUCUAAACACAUCACAAACACGGAGCGUCUGGGUGGCUCAGUUGGC